RNAcentral lists this ribosomal RNA (1320 nucleotides) under Kocuria sp. Its description in RNAcentral is "bacterial SSU rRNA". It matches the Rfam family "Bacterial small subunit ribosomal RNA", at positions 69 to 1399 of the family's 1533-position model. Lineage: Bacteria; Bacillati; Actinomycetota; Actinomycetes; Micrococcales; Micrococcaceae. The record is from RNAcentral.
CGAUGCCCAUCUUGCUGGGCGGAUUAUUGGCGAACGGGUGAGUAAUACGUGAGUAACCUGCCCUUGACUCUGGGAUAAGCCUGGGAAACUGGGUCUAAUACUGGAUACUACCUCUCACCGCAUGGUGGGUGGUGGAAAGGGUUUUACUGGUUUUGGAUGGGCUCACGGCCUAUCAGCUUGUUGGUGGGGUAAUGGCUCACCAAGGCGACGACGGGUAGCCGGCCUGAGAGGGUGACCGGCCACACUGGGACUGAGACACGGCCCAGACUCCUACGGGAGGCAGCAGUGGGGAAUAUUGCACAAUGGGCGGAAGCCUGAUGCAGCGACGCCGCGUGAGGGAUGACGGCCUUCGGGUUGUAAACCUCUUUCAGUAGGGAAGAAGCGAGAGUGACGGUACCUGCAGAAGAAGCGCCGGCUAACUACGUGCCAGCAGCCGCGGUAAUACGUAGGGCGCAAGCGUUGUCCGGAAUUAUUGGGCGUAAAGAGCUCGUAGGCGGUUUGUCGCGUCUGCUGUGAAAGCCCGGGGCUCAACCCCGGGUCUGCAGUGGGUACGGGCAGACUAGAGUGCAGUAGGGGAGACUGGAAUUCCUGGUGUAGCGGUGAAAUGCGCAGAUAUCAGGAGGAACACCGAUGGCGAAGGCAGGUCUCUGGGCUGUUACUGACGCUGAGGAGCGAAAGCAUGGGGAGCGAACAGGAUUAGAUACCCUGGUAGUCCAUGCCGUAAACGUUGGGCACUAGGUGUGGGGGACAUUCCACGUUUUCCGCGCCGUAGCUAACGCAUUAAGUGCCCCGCCUGGGGAGUACGGCCGCAAGGCUAAAACUCAAAGGAAUUGACGGGGGCCCGCACAAGCGGCGGAGCAUGCGGAUUAAUUCGAUGCAACGCGAAGAACCUUACCAAGGCUUGACAUUCACCGGACCGCCCCAGAGAUGGGGUUUCCCUUCGGGGCUGGUGGACAGGUGGUGCAUGGUUGUCGUCAGCUCGUGUCGUGAGAUGUUGGGUUAAGUCCCGCAACGAGCGCAACCCUCGUUCUAUGUUGCCAGCACGUGAUGGUGGGGACUCAUAGGAGACUGCCGGGGUCAACUCGGAGGAAGGUGGGGAUGACGUCAAAUCAUCAUGCCCCUUAUGUCUUGGGCUUCACGCAUGCUACAAUGGCCGGUACAAAGGGUUGCGAUACUGUGAGGUGGAGCUAAUCCCAAAAAGCCGGUCUCAGUUCGGAUUGAGGUCUGCAACUCGACCUCAUGAAGUCGGAGUCGCUAGUAAUCGCAGAUCAGCAACGCUGCGGUGAAUACGUUCCCGGGCCUUGUACACACCGCCCGUCA